GACAAAGACUUAGUCCUAACCUUACCGUUGGUUGUUGCUAGGUAUAUACAUGCAAGUAUCCGCGCGCCAGUGUAGACGCCCUGGGUACCCUAUCUAGGUCGACAGGAGCAGGUAUCAGGCACGCCCAUGUGUAGCCCAAAACGCCUUGCAAUUGCCACGCCCCCACGGGUUCUCAGCAGUAGUUAACAUUAAGCAAUGAGUGUAAACUUGACUUAGCCAUAGCAAAUUAGGGUCGGUAAAUCCUGUGCCAGCCACCGCGGUCAUACAGGAGACCCAAGUCAACGUUAUAACGGCGUAAAGUGUGGUCACAUGUUAUCUAAAGUAGCUAAGAUUAAAAGGCAACUGAGCUGUCGUAAGCCCAAGAUGCCCAUAAGGCCUCCACCAAAGAAGAUCUUAGACCAAAGAUUUAUUGAAGCCCACGAAAGCCAGGGCCCAAACUGGGAUUAGAUACCCCACUAUGCCUGGCCCUAAAUCUUGAUGCUCGAUCUUACCGGAGCAUCCGCCCGAGAACUACGAGCACAAACGCUUAAAACUCUAAGGACUUGGCGGUGUUCCAAACCCACCUAGAGGAGCCUGUUCUGUAAUCGAUGAUCCACGAUAUACCUGACCAUUCCUUGCCAGAACAGCCUAUAUACCGCCGUCGCCAGCCCACCCAGCAUGAAGGCCCAACAGUGGACGCAAUAGCCCCGCCGCGCUAAUAAGACAGGUCAAGGUAUAGCCUAUGGAAUGGAAGCAAUGGGCUACAUUUUCUAGAUUAGAACAUACGGCAAAGGGACAUGAAACAGUCCCUGGAAGGCGGAUUUAGCAGUAAAGUGGGACAAUCGAGCCCUCUUUAAGCCGGCCCUGGAGCACGUACAUACCGCCCGUCACCCUCCUCAAAAGCGACCCC
Molecule: non-coding RNA, 889 nt
Filed under: Phylloscopus forresti (Sichuan leaf-warbler)
Lineage: Eukaryota; Metazoa; Chordata; Aves; Passeriformes; Phylloscopidae
Description: Abrornis forresti (Sichuan leaf-warbler) partial 12S ribosomal RNA
Rfam family: Bacterial small subunit ribosomal RNA
Source: RNAcentral